GUGCCUAACACAUGCAAGUCGAACGCGACACGGAGCAACUCGUGCCGAGUGGCGGACGGGUGAGGAACACGUGGGUUAUCUACCUUGAGGUGAGGAAUACCGGCGAGAAAUCGCCGACAAUACCGCAUACGUUUGGAAACAAACAAAGCUCGUGGCAACACGGGCGCCCCAAGAUGAGCCUGCGCCCGAUUAGCUUCGUUGGUGGGGUAAAGGCCUACCAAGGCGACAAUCGGUAGCUGGUCUGAGAGGACGAUCAGCCACACUGGGAUUGAGAACGGCCCAG
Molecule: ribosomal RNA, 283 nt
Filed under: uncultured bacterium
Lineage: Bacteria
Description: partial 16S ribosomal RNA
Rfam family: Bacterial small subunit ribosomal RNA
Source: RNAcentral